UCAGGAGGGCCGGGGGCGCCGAUCGGUCCAACGAAACCGACGGACCCCUUCCCAGGGCCGGACCGGACGCUUCGCGCGGUCCUCGGUCCGCCUGACGCACUUCCCUCCCGCACGCGAGGACGCCGCAACCGGUCGGGUAGCUGCGAGAGUCGGCCAGGAGGCUGGGCCAAGUGCAGGUUCCCGGGGGCGUUCGCUUCGGCGGCGUCGCCCGGUUCUUAGCCGGCCCGUGCCGUGGCGCGACACCCGACCGAGGUCGAAGGUCUCCCGACUCCGGGAGCACGGCCGUCCCCUUUUCAAACCUAGCGGGAGCGCGCGCAGGCGUGUUCCGGCGCCGCCGAGUCACCCUCCGUGGUGGCCGGCGAGUCGGGGCCGUCGUUGGCGAGCGCCUUCCACGCCCGCGGCGGGGACCACGAAGGUUGGCGGCGAGUAGGUCGGUCACCCACCCGACCCGUCUUGAAACACGGACCAAGGAGUCUAACAUGUGCGCGAGUCACGGGGUCUUGAACAGGCCCAGAGGCGCAAUGAAAGUGAAGGCCCGCCCUCGCGGCGUGGCCGCGUUGGGACUCCGGCUCCACCGUCGGGCCGGAAGCACCAACGACCCGUCCAGACCGGCCCCGUCCGGUCGGGCGGAGUCCGAGCGUACACGUUGGGACCCGAAAGAUGGUGAACUAUGCCUGGGCAGGACGAAGCCAGAGGAAACUCUGGUGGAGGUCCGUAGCGGU
RNAcentral lists this ribosomal RNA (722 nucleotides) under Scyloxes zhaoi. Its description in RNAcentral is "partial large subunit ribosomal RNA". The stretch from base 465 to 722 matches the Rfam family "Eukaryotic large subunit ribosomal RNA", at positions 665 to 884 of the family's 3401-position model. Lineage: Eukaryota; Metazoa; Arthropoda; Arachnida; Araneae; Scytodidae. The record is from RNAcentral.